CUCUGCCUAUGAGAGAAGUUACAGUGCCUUGAUAAUGGAAAGAGGAGGUAAGAGGACCACCAGUUGACACACAAAUGGCACUGGUUCUGACCUUAUCGCUGGACGUGGGAAAGAGGGCAGAGAGCAUUUGGUCUAGUGGUUAAACAGACUGUAAAGCCAUACUAUUUGCUCUGCUCUUCACUAGUCCUGUGACCAUGGGCAGAUUAAUUCUCUGCCUUCGUCAUCUGUAAAGGGGAGAUGUUGAGAGUCCCUACUGUUACAGGGCCAUUACGAGGCCUCAAGUUAUGUAGAGCCCUUCUAAAGUUCUCGCACAUGGAUGGUCCUCUCUCGGCAUUCAUGUUCUUCUUAAACUAGCUGAAGGCCUGGGGUGUGUGUGUGUGUGAGAGGUGUCAGAGCUGCCAUCUGGGCCAAGCUUUUUCACACUUCUCCCACUGCUCAAAGAAAAUGAGGGGCCACAAAAACCUGGGACCUUCUGCCACAGGGGGAGGAGCAGUGUGUAGCAGAGGACACAUCGUGGGCUCACUGGCCUGGUGGUGGGAGGCCUGGGCCUGGCCCUGGCCCUGACUGCCCACAGGAUCUUUGGUAGAUCAGAGUUACUCCCACUAAGCUCACAAACCCAAGGGUCCCCCACCCAUCCUCAUCCUCAAAGAGCACAAAGCAAUACAACCUACCACAUGCUGCUAAACACCAACCUGGGCACUGCAGGUUUGGAGUUUUCUUGGAGGUGUUUCCAUCUCUCACUCACUUGGUGGAGGCUAAGCUUUUGAGAUCUGGGAAAGCAGACCCACCACCCCCUGCAGGCCUGCAGAAGUGGGACAAGAGGAGGACGCAACACCACUUCUGCACUUUCAGAGCCCGAGAGACUUGCAGUCAAGGAAAUGUUUCUGAGGUCAUUGUUCAAUGAGCAUGAAGUAAGCAUCCCGGAAAUAGUCUGCUUAGAGGGGACGAACUGCAGUGGAAUGGGACCACAAGUGGUCUUGUGGAACAAGACCAGGUUCAAAGGCAAUUUCAGAGGCUGUCCAUUAGGAUUUGGAUGGAGCAGGGAAGAGAAGGCAGGAGCCUUUGAAUAAAUGGAAACUGCCUCCGCUCUACCCACAACUCCCACUUGGUUAUGCUUACACAUGAAUGAGACUAAGAAACUGAGGCCCAGAGAAUGAAGCAACAGUUAAAAGAGCGAAGCACUUAACAAACUUCAAGUCCGUAGGUGCCUUUUCUCCGGCUGUCAUGUUCCCCGGGCCAGGCUCCCUCCAGGAAUUCAGUUGAGCAGCCAGCCACGUCAAAAAGACUUGCAAUACGGUCUGGCGCGGUAACAGCAGUCACAGAGGACUGUGGCUUUCCACCUGAGGUCCCAAUGAGCACUUAAAAAAAAGAGAGAAAUAAAAGAGAAAAUAUCAGAGUGCAUCCAACAUACUGGAGCAACCACGCUGCAGUCCUCUUGGCCACAGCGGGAAGACAGCAGGCCUACCAAGUGGGAGAAGGAAUCGAACACCAGUGGAACUGCAGGACAUGGCCAGUGAGUCCAGCAGGAGUUGGAGAAUUGACAUGGGACUGGAUUCUCCUUGUGUUGCAUCAAGGGAGGCAAACUGUGAAGUUGGAUGAAGGAGAGUGGAUUGAAUUGGGAGCACUGCUAUGUGGUACAGGAUGUAACACCCUGGCAAGGAGCAGGCAGUGGUAUUAAUGCUCUACUUGGUUGGCUCAUGGAAGCUUAGAAAAAGCAAUGGCUUGCACUAAAUGAAACAGAACUGCCAGCACUGCCAUGGCAAAUAGUGGGUGAAGGGAUCAAAAGACUCAGAGAAGUGGGCAUGCUGGUGUAGACAGGCUAAUGAGGACAGAAAACCCACCAGGCGGCUGUGGUCCACAAGAUGACCUGAAGAACAUUCUAUUUUUCCCAAAUGAUAAGGAAUGUGCUAGUGAAUAUGGCCACCAGCAUGGGUAAAAAGUCCAGUGGCUGCUCCUCUCUAGGCCAGGGCUGAUGGGAGAUGCCCGUGCAGAAAGAAGUACGCUUCUAAUUCUGAUGAGGAUGACAGAAUCUCAAAAUAAUAGAGGCCAGUGAUGGCACGCCACUGGCAGCAGCAAGGUGGGUAAGAUUACUAUAAUACAUGACAAGAACAGUUGUAAUUCACAGCAGCCAGAGGAGUCUGUUCCCAUAGAGAAUUAUGGAGAUGGUAUUAGAACAUAGUAUUCCUAGGGGGCAAGAUAUAGCUUAAUUUAUACAACUAGAGGGAAUCAGAUGGAUGAUAAAGGCUCAAGGCAGCCAUCCCAGUAAAAAAUUAUGAUCAGUUGCCCAUCAGACCUCUGACUGAAGGGAGGCUGAGCUGCAUAAGGAAGGAUCCUACAAUGUCAUGGCAAAUGUAUAUGGUAGUGAUGGUCCCUCUCCAAAUGGACCUCUAAAGGGACCUCAGAAGAAAGGAGAAUAACCAGAUAUUUCAAGGCCUGUUGGACACAGGAUGAGUUAACACUGAGAAGCAGAGACCUGAAGUAUCAUCAUUAUGGAGCCCAGCUCAUACAUGGCAUCCUGGGCCAGGCCAAGUCAUAGUGGACCCACUGUGCCCAUAGAUCCACCUGAUGCUCAUUUCCCUGAUCCACAAAUAGAUCACUGGAAUGGACAUGUUUCCCAAUCAGAAUAACCCCAUAUGGUCCUCAGCCUGUGGGGAAGAACCACUGUAGGGGGAAAAGUCAAGUGGAAGCCUCUGAAACUGCCUCCCCGACCAAAAUAGUAUGUCAAAAACCAUAUUCCAUCCCAGGGGGGAUUGGCCUAACAAAUUAGCGUCACCCAUAAAGAUGAAAGAAUGUGCAGGUAGAGGUGCCUAUCAUACCCCCUUUUAAAUCACAUCUGGUUCCUGCACAAACCAGAUAUAUCCUAGCAGAAGGCAAGUAGACAACUGUAAACACAACCAAAGGGUAGCCCCAGUGGUUGGUUAUCACGGCUUUGCCUGAGAGGUAUCCAGAUGUUUCUUGGUUGAGCUUAACAGGCUAUCAGGAAUGCAGUACGCAGUCUGAUCUGGCAAAUGGCUGUUUUGCAUCCCGAUCAGGGGCCAUUUACAAUCUUGCCCCAGGGUAUAACUCUCCCAACCUCUGGUUGUUGUCAAAAAUGCCUUGGGGUGGAAUUAGGACCCCUGAGAGCAAGUCUGGGUUAGGUUAAAAAAAAAAAAAAUCUUGCAGGGUGAAGAGCAGGAGUAGACCAACUAAAAGUGUUUACAGAGAAUUGCAGUCAUAUGCAACAUAAUGUUGAGCUCCCUUUUGGAACACAAGCUCUGGGAAUCUGUACUCAUUUCUGGUACUCCUUUCCUCCCUCAGGAUGGACUGGGGCAAGAGACCUUGGAAGCAAUGAAAGGGGUUACUUCCACAAGCCUCCUAGCCUCUCUCCAAGACCGACUUGGCCCACUUUUUGACCCCGUCCUGCAGAUUUUGCAUUUAUUGUACCUUCCUUCCCAGCCAUUCCAAACAAGAGACUUGCUCUUUCUCACCUAAAACUAAGCAGGGACCUCCAACUUCUUCCACCUGUUGGCCCUUAAACUCCACUUGCUGCAUCACAGGUAUCUUAGGAAUCCUUGACCCUCAGCCUCUAAGGCUCUCAGCCUGUGCCUCCCACAAUUGACCUGUGAGUCCAGCAGACCCCCACAGGUGCCUCAGAGCUGCCCAAGUUCCUCUAAAAUAAUUUUUUGUAUGUAUAUAUGUAUUGAUGUAUUGUAUUUAAAAAAAAUUUUUUUUUCACUGUUUAUUUUUGAGAGGCAGAGAGACAGAGCACAAGCAGGGAGGGGCAGAGGGAGAGGGAGACACAGAAUCCGAAGCAGCUCCAGGCUCUGAGCUGUCAGCACAGAGCACGACACGGGGCUUGGACUCACGAACCAUGAGAUCAUGACCUGAGCCAAAGUUGGACGUUUAACCGACUCAGCCACCCAGGUGCCCCUAUUUAUGUGUUGUAAAGAAUCUUUCUUCCUGGAGAAAGCUUCAAUUCCAGGCCCGAGUAAUCCUUCAGGCAGCCUGGGUCACAAGUUAUGAUGAACAGGAACGUCUCUGGGUAUUUAACAUUCUAAGGCCUCUUCUUGUAGAAUCCCUUCCUUCACCAUUUUUGGGCAAGUAUUUGAGUUCCCACCGUAUGACAGCCACUGUGCUUGAGCUGAGAGUAUCAGGAUAGCAUCUAGACUUUCAGCUGACUUCUCACCAGCAAGAUCGGAAGCCAGAAAAUGAUGGAAUAUACCCAGUGCUCUGAGGUGAAAUGACGGUGUGUCAGGGCUCCUUCAGGUUCAGCAAUUCACCAGGAGGUCUCACAGGACUCAGCGUAUAGUCGGACUCAUUCAUUAUAGUAAAAAGACAUAAAGCAAAACAAAAAACAAGCAAACAAACAAACAAAAACAAACAACAAAAAAGGAAAUGGUGCGUGGGGCACAGUCCAAAGGAAACCAGGUGCAAGCUUCCAAGAGUCCUCUCCCAGGGGAGUCACACAGGACACGCUCGAUUCUUCCAGCAGAGUUGUGACAACAUGUGUAAAAUGUUGUCCACCAGGGAAGCUCAUUAGAGGCUCGGGGCGUAAGAUUUGUACUGGGAACUGGGAACGUAGGCACCUCUGUCUAGCACAGAUCAAAAUUCCAGACUCCCAGUAGGAGAGCAGAUGUUCAACAUAGACCAAAUGGUACAGUUUCGACACAGUAAGCCAUUCUUGUCAGUCAGGGAAUGAUGGGAACACUUCUGAAAUCCAAGGGCCCACAUGCCAGCCGCAGGCCAUCCUCGUAAGCAGUCCUUUCUAAAGAUAGGGGUCUUGAGCCACCCUGUUAAUGCUUUUUUUUUCACAGACUGUCAACUUGGAAUUUUGUAAUCAAUAAAAGUACCCUUGAAGAAUGAAAGCAAAAUGAAGACAUUCCAAGCUAACAAAGUAGAGGGUCUGCCUCCAACAGAGCUGCAGUACAGAUGGAAAGCAAUCCAGAAAAAAGAUCGAAGGAAAGAAUGAAGAACACUUGUGGUGCGAAACAUAAUAAAAAUGUCUGCCAGGCUUAAAAUAACAAGAUGAACAACAAAAUAAGGGGGAGAGGAUGUGAGGUUAGUGUAUUCAAAUAUCCUUGCAUGAUGUGAAGGAUGGUAAAGCUAUUCACUAAUUUUGGACUUUAAUAAGUUAAUUGUGAAUGUCAAAAUACCUAAGGUAAAAAUUAUUAGACUAGAAAUAGAAAUCCCACACUUGUACAAAGGAAAAAAAAAGGAAUUCUAUAACAGUAUUUCACCAGUACAAAAGAAGCCAAAGAUGAAUAGAACUAGAAGAAAAGGCAAAAUAUAAAGCACAAAAGAAGAUGACCGAAGUAUUCCAAACGGGUCACUGAUUAUCAUGUAAAUUAUAAUAGAAUAUACAUAAUAUAAAUAACUGAAAUUUUUCACUUAAAAGAUUUAUAGUAAAGGAAUGCAAAAGGAUGUAUUUAGACAAACUAAGGAAAAGAAAGCAGAUGUGGCUAUGUUAUUAUCAGACCAAAUAGAAUUUAAGGCAAAAAAGCAUUACUAAAGAGGAUCACUCCAUUAUGAUAAAAGGUUUAAUUCACCAGAACAUGAAAUAAAUACAAACUUCUGUGAACCUAACUGAAUAGCAUAAAAUACUGUAUAUAAAUAAAAAAUGGGCAGAACUACAAGCAGGAAUUCACAAUGCUACUAUCUAUGGGAUAUUUUACACAUCACUUUCUGUAAUAUUUUGAUCAAGAUGUUACUAUAUUGACUAAACUUGGCAGCCAAAGGCAUUAUCUUUGGGGCAAAAAUGGAACAACAGUUGUGGAGCACACAUUGUUUUGAAUUUCACAUCGAGCUUUUACGAAAAAAGAUCCCACGUAACAUUGUUCACCAAAUCUCAAAGGAUUGGUGUCACUCCUUGACCAUAAUUCAAUUAAGUUAGAAAGUGUUAACCAAAAGAAAAGUAGAAAAACGCCAUAUUUGCAAAUUCAUGAAAUAACUUCUAUUUUAUUUUUAAGUAUGCUCCAUGUUCAACAUGGGGCUCAAACUCACCACCCUGAGAUCAAGUCACAGACUCUACCCCCUAAGCCAGCCAGGCAUCUCCUCAUGAAGUAACUUCUCAAUAUUCAUGUGUCAAAGAAGAAGUGGAAAUCAUUUAGGAUGCAGAAAUGAAAAACAAUGAUAAUGCUACCACAUCACAAACACUGUCUAGAUAUUAUAGCCCUAAAUGCUCAUGUUAGAGAAAAAUAAAGGCUAAAAGUGAAAGAUCCAUGUAAGUAACUUAAGUUACAAAAAGGACAAAAUACAUGAAUUUCUAGACGAUGAACUGCUGCAUUAAAGUUACUGGUAUUUUUCUUGGUUGUAUUAAAUCUUGCAGACAUGCUUUCCCAGUUUAUACUCCUAGUAGCUCUGGUUGGAGCAAAAUUUCUUACACUCUCACCAACUUUU
Acinonyx jubatus (cheetah) is the source of this 6375-nucleotide long non-coding RNA. RefSeq lists it as uncharacterized. Lineage: Eukaryota; Metazoa; Chordata; Mammalia; Carnivora; Felidae. The record is from RefSeq and is a predicted model, not a curated record. The transcript is spliced from 5 exons.